CGGGCAGUAGCUGAGGGGUAGAGCUCACGCUUCAUAUGCGGGGAAACCUGGGUUCGAUUCCCGGCUGCUUGC
RNAcentral lists this transfer RNA (72 nucleotides) under Toxocara canis (dog roundworm). It matches the Rfam family "tRNA". From Rfam's summary of the family: Transfer RNA (tRNA) molecules are approximately 80 nucleotides in length. Their secondary structure includes four short double-helical elements and three loops (D, anti-codon, and T loops). The record is from Rfam by way of RNAcentral. Lineage: Eukaryota; Metazoa; Nematoda; Chromadorea; Rhabditida; Toxocaridae.